CAGGGAUUCGGAUAGUAUUUUUGCAAAAAUGUGUAGUUUUUUAAGCUUAUCGCAUUGUUUACUUCCUGGUUCGGUAAAGGGGUCCUAAAAAGCCACGCCCACAGAAACAUCUGCGUCUUCCAGAUGCCACCACCAGUUAAUUUAGCCACCAGUUAAUCUAUAACACCUGCAGCAGGACCAGCAUAGCUGAUCAUUACAGAAUCCGGAAAAUGUGAGACCGUCAGAAAAAGACAUUUAAGCUGAAGCAGAACAUGACGGCGACCCAAAACAUACCGUCGCAGCUGUCUGAGAAGCUGCAGUAAAGCUUCUGGAAGACGCCGCAGGCCGACCUGGAGCUGAGCAGCAGCAGCAGCAGCAGCGCCGGCAGGACGGCCAGCAUUUUGGUUCCUCAUGGUUUUGGUUGUAUUUGUUUAGUUUUUUUGCUACAACUCAGCCCAUCAAUAAAAUCUACACACUAAACCUUGUAGAGAUUUUUCUUUGUUUUUCGGUUUUUUAUUUUGAUCAUUUUAAUAGAAAUAUUAAGAGUUUUGUGUGACUUAAUCAGCAAACAUUCCUGCAAACUUUCUCCCAAUUGACCAAGAAACUGGGAUUAAUAACAUCUCAACACAUCGCAAGAUGUUUCAUGUUUUGUCAGAGAGUAACAUGAAAAAUAAUUAAAAGAAUAAAUGGAAAUAUCCUUGAUUGUUUGCACCCCAUGAACAAAAACAUCACCACAUAAAUAAAACAAUAAGAAAGUUAAUAUUCUGACUCCAAACCUUUGUUUAAAAGUAAAAGCAGCCAUAACUUCUGCCUGUAGCAAUGAUUUAUUUGUUAAAUUUAUAUCUAAAAAAUGUAAACACUAAAUAAAUCCUUGUUACAAAUCGUAUUAUUGUAUUAAACUAAACAAACCUCCCA
Long non-coding RNA from Xiphophorus hellerii (green swordtail), 894 nucleotides. RefSeq lists it as uncharacterized. NCBI's taxonomy places the organism in Eukaryota, Metazoa, Chordata, Actinopteri, Cyprinodontiformes, Poeciliidae. The transcript is spliced from 4 exons. The record is from RefSeq and is a predicted model, not a curated record.